This 1437-nucleotide ribosomal RNA is filed under the name metagenome. RNAcentral describes it as "bacterial SSU rRNA". It matches the Rfam family "Archaeal small subunit ribosomal RNA". The record is from RNAcentral.
UUGAUCCUGCGGAAGGUUGCUGCUAUUAGAGUUCGACUUAGCCAUGCAAGUCAUGGGGGUCUUCGGACCACCGGCAGACUGCUCAGUAACACGUCGAUAACCUAACUUUGGGUCUGGGAUAAUCUUGGGAAACUGAGUGUAAUACCAGAUGGGAAAUAUCGUCUGGAACGAGAUAUUUCUUAAAAAAAGCAAUGCCUAAAGAUGGGUCGGCGGCGGAUUAGAUUGUUGGUGGGGUGACGGCCCACCAAGUCGAAGAUCCGUAGGGGCCCUGAGAGGGGGAGCCCCGAGAGGGAAACUGAGAUACUGUUCCCAGCCCUACGGGGUGCAGCAGGCGCGAAACCUUUACAAUGCACGCAAGUGUGAUAAGGGAACUCUAAGUGCUCACGCACUGCGUGGGCUUUUGCCAAAGGUAAAUACUUUGGCGAAUAAGUGGUGGGAAAGACCGGUGCCAGCAGCCGCGGUAACCCCGGCGCCACAAGUGGCAACCGUGUUUAUUGGGCCUAAAGCGUCCGUAGCCUGUCAAGUAAAUCUCUUGUGAAAUUGUGCAGCUUCACUGCAUAGCGUGCAGGAGACACUGCUCGACUAGGGACUGGGAGGAGUUAGAGGUAUUUUAGGGGGAGCGGUAAAAUGCUAUAAUCCCUAGAGGACCACCUGUGGCGAAGGCGUCUAACUAGAACAGAUCCGACGGUGAGGGACGAAAGCUAGGGGAGCGACCCGGAUUAGAUACCCGAUUAGUCCUAGCUGUAAACGCUGCGAGCUAGGUGUUGCGCAUUCUACGGGAAUGCGCAGUGUCGAAGCGAAGGCAUUAAGCUCGCCGCCUGGGAAGUAUAGUCGCAAGGCCGAAACUUAAAGGAAUUGGCGGGGGAGCACUACAAGGGGUGCGGCGUGCGGUUUAAUCUAACUCAACGCAGAGAACCUCACCAGGGUCGACGGCAGGAUGAAAGUCAGUCUGAAGGGCUUACUUGACGAGCCGAGAGGAGGUGCAUGGCCGUCGUCAGCUCGUGUCGUGAGAUGCCCUGUUAAGUCAGGCAACGAGCAAGACCUGCGUCUAUAGUUGCCAGCAGGAAUGCGUGCAUUCGACUGGGCACACUAUAGGGACUGCCUUGGAAACAAGGAGGAAGGUGCAGGCUACGAUAGGUCUGUAUGCCCCGGAUACUCUGGGCUACACGCGCGCAACAAUGGUAGAGACAAUGGGAUGCAACUCCGAAAGGAGGAGCUAAACCUCUAAACUCUAUCUUAGUCCAGAUUGAGGGCUGCAACUCGCCCUCAUGACGAUGGAAUCCCUAGUAAUCAGAGUUCAUCAUACUCCGGUGAAUGUGUCCCUGCUCCUUGUUCACACCGCCCGUCAAACCAACCGAGCGGGGUUUAGAUGAGUUCAUGGAACUUUGCUAUGACCGAAUCUAAGCUUGGUGAGGUGGGUUAAGUCGUCACAAGGUA